GACGAACGCUGGCGGCGUGCCUAAUACAUGCAAGUCGAACGGAAAGGCCCUGCUCUUGUGGGGUGCUCGAGUGGCGAACGGGUGAGUAACACGCGAGUAACCUGUCCCUGACUUUGGGAUAACUCCAGGAAACUGGGGCUCAUACCGGAUAGGAGCUCUUGCUGCACGGUGGGGGUUGGAAAGUUUCGGCGGUUGGGGAUGGACUCGCGGCUUAUCAGCUUGUUGGUGGGGUAGUGGCUUACCAAGGCUUUGACGGGUAGCCGGCCUGAGAGGGUGACCGGCCACAUUGGGACUGAGAUACGGCCCAGACUCCUACGGGAGGCAGCGGUGGAGAAUAUUGCACAAUGGGCGGAAGCCUGAUGCAGCAACGCCGGGUGCGGGAUGACGGCCUUCGGGUUGUAAACCGCUUUCGCCUGUGACGAAGCGUGAGUGACGGUAAUGGGUAAAGAAGCACCGGCUAACUACGUG
Molecule: ribosomal RNA, 468 nt
Filed under: uncultured bacterium
Lineage: Bacteria
Description: partial 16S ribosomal RNA
Rfam family: Bacterial small subunit ribosomal RNA
Source: RNAcentral